UACGUAGGUGGCGAGCGUUGUCCGGAAUUACUGGGUGUAAAGGGAGCGUAGGCGGGGGUUUAAGUUGGAUGUGAAAUACCGCAGCUCAACUGCGGGGCUGCAUCCAAAACUGGACUUCUUGAGUGAAGUAGAGGCAAGCGGAAUUCCUAGUGUAGCGGUGAAAUGCGUAGAUAUUAGGAGGAACACCAGUGGCGAAGGCGGCUUGCUGGGCUUUUACUGACGCUGAGGCUCGAAAGCGUGGGGAGCAAACAGG
This 253-nucleotide ribosomal RNA is filed under the name uncultured bacterium. Its description in RNAcentral is "partial 16S ribosomal RNA". It matches the Rfam family "Bacterial small subunit ribosomal RNA", at positions 524 to 776 of the family's 1533-position model. The record is from RNAcentral.